UAGUCCACGCCGUAAACGAUGAUUACUCGUUGUGCACAAUACAUCGUGCGUGACUGAGCGAAAGCAUUAAGUAAUCCACCUGGGGAGUACGUUCGCAAGAAUGAAACUCAAAGGAAUUGACGGGGGCCCGCACAAGCGGAGGAACAUGUGGUUUAAUUCGAUGAUACGCGAGGAACCUUACCUGGGCUUAAAUGCAUAACGACCGUCUCGGAAACGAGACUUUCUUCGGACGGAAUGCAAGGUGCUGCAUGGUUGUCGUCAGCUCGUGCUGUGAGGUGUCGGGUUAAGUCCCAUAACGAGCGCAACCCCUAUCCUUAGUUGCCAGCGGAUAAUGCCGGGGACUCUAAGGAAACUGCCCGUGCAAACGGAGAGGAAGGUGGGGAUGGACGUCAAAUCAUCACGGCCCUUACGUCCAGGGGCUACACACGUGCUACAAUGGUCAGUACAAAGGGGCAGCUACCUGGGUGACAGGGAU
RNAcentral lists this ribosomal RNA (475 nucleotides) under uncultured bacterium. Its description in RNAcentral is "bacterial SSU rRNA". It matches the Rfam family "Bacterial small subunit ribosomal RNA", at positions 791 to 1267 of the family's 1533-position model. The record is from RNAcentral.